CUUUAGAGGAAGAUGCAAGUAGAUCCCAGAUGACUAACACAGAAUCUGCCUUUUGUUUGAAUUACAAUAUGGGAGGAAAGUACCUUGACAUUCAUCUUCAAGGGAAUGGUGACACUACCCGACACCCCCGUUGUGACGUACGGUGCUGCAUACUCCCCAGUGACCAGCCCCUCUUAAAUUCCAGACCGCUAAAAGGGUGA
Molecule: long non-coding RNA, 200 nt
Filed under: Macaca mulatta (Rhesus monkey)
Lineage: Eukaryota; Metazoa; Chordata; Mammalia; Primates; Cercopithecidae
Description: lncRNA (ENSMMUG00000061983.1)
Source: RNAcentral